UGUCAUGGCCACUUGUCUCUGUAUAUAAAGGGAGUGAUGGGGGUGCUGCUUUGGACGAAUGGACCUGGGGUGGGGGAAAGGGGCAGCAGACAGAGGCUGCCUUGGCAAGAAGAUCUCUGCUGUUGGCCAGAAAUCGGAAAUGUAAGAAGAUGGCGAAGUACCAUAGAUGUAAGUGUUCAGUAUGCCGUGUGAAGGAUUCACUACAGAGAAAAAAAUCAAAGAAGUUAUGCCAGAAAAAGAACAGGAAGACAAGUCAGCAGCAUAAGGCAAUGCCCUGGUUGAAGACACUGCUUGACAUCUUGUUUUUCCAUGUCGUGUUUUCUCCCAUGGCCAGGAAAAAGAAAAGCCUCUCUUGGUGCAGGCCCAAGACCACCAUGAUCAUCGUUGAUUUUACAUCUCCACCCCAGGGUGUCUAAGUAAAAUCUCUCUCCUUUCACUGAAGAAUGUGUUUUGUGUGUUUUUGCUCAGCUGAAAGGCUCAGUGCACAUUCACAUCUGUCACCAGCAAGAAUGGGCUUGGGUGUCACUGGAAACAAGGAGAACAGAAUCUAAGAAUUCUUAAGCCCAGAGAAAGCUCUGACUUCCCCAUUUUCUCUGAGACUUCACACUAGAUCUUUUAACUUGGUAAACUUUGAAUUUGGUAAACAGCUGAUUUUCAAACCUUGAGGGUUCCCCCCCCAUGUCAAGGCCAUUCCUCCAGAACACCAGGGGGAGCUGUUGUGCUGCCCAGUCCCAGCACCAAGAUGGUUCCUAAGCCAAGGAUGGCUAUGGACAUAUGUAUAUGCAAACCAUCAGGACCCAAGUACCUAGGAUGUACCAGUCAUAGAGAUAGAAUAUUUGAAACUGGUCAGUCCUAGAGUUUCCAGAACCAUGGUGGCCAAUAUCCAUGGAGGGAAAUGUAGUUUCUAUCACAUCUGUAAGCUGCUGCCUCCCCAGACUUCCCCCUUUCACUCUAAUCCCCUGCUGUAAGUGUUUUGAUUCUUGAUGAGGUCUGCAGAUAAAAUAAGUGAAAAAUGAAUCUAUCCUGAAGUAUUAAAAGGAGAGCAUCUCAGAAGGAAGAGAUGAAGAGAGAAACAUCGCUACCACCAUAUGGCUUACAUUCCAUGCCUGCCACUUCCUAAAAUGUCUGAAUAAUAGAUAUUUUCCAAGGGCCUUAGACCUGGGGCUGAGACAGCCCGUGCUCAAUAAAUACUUGCUGAAUGGAGGAAUGACUCCAGUUUCGGGGCUGGUCUUGCCACUCUCUGACCACUUGAUCCCUCUGGGUACUAGUGGAUGGGAGGAGGAAGUGAGAUUCCACUACCUACUCAGU
Long non-coding RNA from Lutra lutra (Eurasian river otter), 1308 nucleotides. RefSeq lists it as uncharacterized. The record is from RefSeq and is a predicted model, not a curated record. The transcript has 3 exons. NCBI's taxonomy places the organism in Eukaryota, Metazoa, Chordata, Mammalia, Carnivora, Mustelidae.